Non-coding RNA from Peromyscus maniculatus bairdii (prairie deer mouse), 1137 nucleotides. The record is from RefSeq and is a predicted model, not a curated record. NCBI's taxonomy places the organism in Eukaryota, Metazoa, Chordata, Mammalia, Rodentia, Cricetidae.
AUGGGUCAGCCACUACUUCCUUCAAAGUUAAGACAGGAAGUAGCCAGCUCACACUUCUGAGACAUCCCUACAGGAAUGAAAAAUAUCCCCUUCUCCUGGAAAAUGGGCUUUUGCUUUUAGGCAACUAGUGUGGCAGACUCACUUUCGGAUGUGACCCAUGGACCCCAAAUUUACAUUUCUGCCAUUGGUGGAAGUUACAGUGAGGAUGAGAACAGGACCACCCCAUUCCCACCUCUCUCUCCGCAGACUCUUGUUGGCCAUUAGCACUCCAUCGAUUUCCUUUUUUACUGUGUUAAACUGAGUUGUCAUUUUACUCUUGUGGAAGAGAUCGUUCACCAUAAUGGUCAUUUACGGCUUACUUGUGUUUAACCAGGUUAAAAAGAAAAAAAAAGAGUCAGACAUUUUCCCACCUCCCGGUAUACAAAACACAAGUCGAGUGAAGUAUUCUUUUCUUGUCUGGUGACUCCCAAGGUUUACCUCAGCUGUCCUCUGGAGGCUGAGUUAGAGCAAGCAGCAGACCACUGUGCCGAUGGUGCACAUCCUGGUCACCCACCAGCCACUUGUUUCCGUCACAUUUUCUCCAGGUUUUUACUUAAUCCUGAGAGGAAGAAUCCUCACAGAUCCCCUGGGCUACCUCUGGUCUACACUGUGUAAGCGCCCAUGGUUUUUACCUCCGGUCUACACUGAGUAAGCGCCCAGGGCUUUUACCUCCGGUCUACACUGUCAGGAGACUUUUACAAAAAGCCACAACUGGUCAAGAUGGAGAGAACACCUGACUAGAGUAACCAGUCCCAGAUGAUACAGCUGCACCACAACGUCUGAACCUAAGGCUCACAAAACAUCACCGAAGAGGAGGCAGAAAGACUGUGAGAGCCAGAGGACCAGGAAAUCUGCUGGGAGACUCUGCUUUCUAGCUAUGAUGGUGUAUUGGUUACUUUUCUACUGCUGUGAUAAAACACCAUGAUCAACACAAUUUACAGAAGGAAAGAUAAGUCUGGCUGCAGGAGCAAAAGAAGAGCCAGUCUAUGAGCCGAUCCGCACUGUUUAAAGUACACAAAAGUCGAGGUCCUGAAUCAGCUGCCUUGUAUGGAACACACAGAAUCAAACUCCGCCAAGAGACCAGAGACUGUACCCGAG